UAAUCCCAGCCCGCGUAUCAAUGAGCCCGGUCUGUAGGGUUCCAGGUUUGAUAGCUGGCUCUUUCUGGAAUCGUGAGAUACAAACCUGCUGAAAAUUAACGGUCCUGCAUUAGUCUAGAAGACGGCGGUUUCAAUAGAGGCCACAACGCGAGCAUCUUCACAGGCCGGAAGACCCUGCCCCGAUGGAGAGGGUAACACCAAGAAAACAAGCUCCAGGGUACUGACAACGCGAUGGACAUUGUCUCGUAACUGGACAGUUCGGCGUUGGUGAUGUGUUCCGCCGGUCGAUAAAACUGCAGCAAAAGUACGACAAGGAAUGCGUUUUUUCAACUCGCCGCUGUGUGGACAAGGAUUUGUCGGGUUUGCGACCAGCCACUACCGGAGCGGCUGGAAUGCAUUUUGCGAACAAUAUCUUCCCGGAGAUUGAUCAUAUUCUGGAUGUACCGAUACAGGAGCGAAAAUAUUUUCGAAUGUGAAACGUUCCGGGCUUCUUGCGGAGUGGUGGAUGAUAGGACUUACUGGCAGAGUCCCGAGGCAUACUGUGCGCAUACGCCUGAGUUGAAAGUGGUGGUACCACGAGCACCGAAACGAAGCCAACGGACGCUAGAUGUUCUGCGAGUUGUCAACGACAUGACCCUGAUCAGGUGGGAAUCGUAGUUCGAUGGGGACACCCCUUUCCAUACGUGUUCGAACCGUUCUACAUCCCGGAUAAGUUCCGGUGCCUGGCCUGGAUCAAAAAGCUGUUCGAUUGUUGAGAAGAGCUUGGUCUACAAAUUUUGAUGGUAAUUUGGCAUCCAGCUUGUUACGCGUAAGCUAUAGAGGUGAUCGGGGCAAUAUGAGCCACCUACGAAAACUUCAAGGAUUGCAUGGAAAAACUGGAUAAACUAAUGUAAAACUAAGAAAUGCGCCAACGAUCAGUGCCGGAUUUAGGCUUCGUGGGGCCCGGGUCAAAUCCUUAGACGGGGUCCUUGGUACAAAAUGAGCCCGAUACAUGAAAGUGUAGUAUUGCGUCAAUAAAAUAGCCGGAAAACUCCAGAAAAAUAUUAUAUUUCUCGAAUUUUCACUAUACUAUACUCACAUCGUGAAUAUUGCGUAAAAUAAAUCACCGUAUAAAAUACUUGAAAGUUCGCACAUAAUGAAGAUGAGAUAAAAUUUUGACUGAAUCGUUCUCAA
This is a long non-coding RNA of Aedes aegypti (yellow fever mosquito), 1173 nucleotides long. RefSeq lists it as uncharacterized. The record is from RefSeq and is a predicted model, not a curated record. The transcript has 2 exons. NCBI's taxonomy places the organism in Eukaryota, Metazoa, Arthropoda, Insecta, Diptera, Culicidae.